GAUGAAGAACGUAGCGAAAUGCGAUAAGUAAUGUGAAUUGCAGAAUUCAGUGAAUCAUCGAAUCUUUGAACGCACAUUGCGCCCGGCAGUACUCUGCCGGGCAUGCCUGUUCGAGCGUCAUUUCAACCCUCAAGCCCUGCUUGGUGUUGGGGCCCCACGGCUGCCGUGGGCCCUGAAAGGAAGUGGCGGGCUCGCUACAACUCCGAGCGUAGUAAUUCAUUAUCUCGCUUAGGGCGUUGGGCGGCGCCCCAGCCGUUAAAGAACCAUCUUUAACUCAAGGUUGACCUCGGAUCAGGUAGGAAUACCCGCUGAACUUAAGCAUAUCAAUAAGCGGAGGA
This 338-nucleotide unclassified non-coding RNA is filed under the name soil metagenome. RNAcentral's name for it is "partial contains 5.8S ribosomal RNA, internal transcribed spacer 2, and large subunit ribosomal RNA". The stretch from base 1 to 120 matches the Rfam family "5.8S ribosomal RNA", at positions 35 to 154 of the family's 154-position model. The record is from RNAcentral.